Molecule: transfer RNA, 90 nt
Filed under: Fidelibacterota bacterium
Lineage: Bacteria; Pseudomonadati; Fidelibacterota
Description: tRNA-Ser
Rfam family: tRNA
About the family: Transfer RNA (tRNA) molecules are approximately 80 nucleotides in length. Their secondary structure includes four short double-helical elements and three loops (D, anti-codon, and T loops).
Source: RNAcentral
GGAGAGGUGGCCGAGCUGGCUGAAGGCGCUCGCCUGCUAAGUGAGUAACUGGGGAGACCUGGUUCGAGAGUUCGAAUCUCUCCCUCUCCG